RNAcentral lists this ribosomal RNA (513 nucleotides) under uncultured bacterium. RNAcentral describes it as "partial 16S ribosomal RNA". It matches the Rfam family "Bacterial small subunit ribosomal RNA", at positions 28 to 523 of the family's 1533-position model. The record is from RNAcentral.
GAUGAACGCUGGCGGCGUGCCUAAUACAUGCAAGUCGAGCGAACGGAUAAGGAGCUUGCUCCUUUGAAGUUAGCGGCGGACGGGUGAGUAACACGUGGGUAACCUACCUAUAAGACUGGAAUAACUUCGGGAAACCGGAGCUAAUGCCGGAUAACAUUUGGAACUGCAUGGUUCUAAAGUAAAAGAUGGUUUUGCUAUCACUUAUAGAUGGACCCGCGCCGUAUUAGCUAGUUGGUAAGGUAACGGCUUAUCAAGGCAACGAUACGUAGCCGACCUGCGAGGGUGAUCGGCCACACUGGAACUGAGACACGGUCCAGACUCCUACGGGAGGCAGCAGUAGGGAAUCUUCCGCAAUGGACGAAAGUCUGACGGAGCAACGCCGCGUGAGUGAUGAAGGUUUUCGGAUCGUAAAACUCUGUUAUUAGGGAAGAACAAAUGUGUAAGUAACUGUGCACAUCUUGACGGUACCUAAUCAGAAAGCCACGGCUAACUACGUGCCAGCCGCCGCAGUAA